GCGCUCCACAAUUUUUGAUGUUUGCUCAUGAUUAAUAAUUCUAAGACAUGGUUUAUAGCUCAAAUCAACAAUCUGUUCCCAAAGAAGAGGAAUUGAACCUCGAACCUGCAAUAAUGUGAAACCUUCAAGCUCCAGCAAUUGCUCAGUUUCAAUAAAAUUAGCAGUAUCUCCUUCAAGGUUAGCUCCUCUUCUCCACAUUCUUGUUCCUAGCCGUCGAGUACACCUUCUUGAAAGUAA
This 237-nucleotide unclassified non-coding RNA is filed under the name Hevea brasiliensis (rubber tree). Lineage: Eukaryota; Viridiplantae; Streptophyta; Magnoliopsida; Malpighiales; Euphorbiaceae. The record is from RNAcentral.